UAAUGAGAGUUUGAUCCUGGCUCAGGACGAACGCUGGCGGCGUGCCUAAUACAUGCAAGUAGAACGCUGAAGAGAGGAGCUUGCUCUUCUUGGAUGAGUUGCGAACGGGUGAGUAACGCGUAGGUAACCUGCCUUGUAGCGGGGGAUAACUAUUGGAAACGAUAGCUAAUACCGCAUAACAAUGGAUGACACAUGUCAUUUAUUUGAAAGGGGCAAUUGCUCCACUACAAGAUGGACCUGCGUUGUAUUAGCUAGUAGGUGAGGUAACGGCUCACCUAGGCGACGAUACAUAGCCGACCUGAGAGGGUGAUCGGCCACACUGGGACUGAGACACGGCCCAGACUCCUACGGGAGGCAGCAGUAGGGAAUCUUCGGCAAUGGGGGCAACCCUGACCGAGCAACGCCGCGUGAGUGAAGAAGGUUUUCGGAUCGUAAAGCUCUGUUGUAAGUCAAGAACGAGUGUGAGAGUGGAAAGUUCACACUGUGACGGUAGCUUACCAGAAAGGGACGGCUAACUACGUGCCAGCAGCCGCGGUAAUACGUAGGUCCCGAGCGUUGUCCGGAUUUAUUGGGCGUAAAGCGAGCGCAGGCGGUUUGAUAAGUCUGAAGUUAAAGGCUGUGGCUCAACCAUAGUUCGCUUUGGAAACUGUCAAACUUGAGUGCAGAAGGGGAGAGUGGAAUUCCAUGUGUAGCGGUGAAAUGCGUAGAUAUAUGGAGGAACACCGGUGGCGAAAGCGGCUCUCUGGUCUGUAACUGACGCUGAGGCUCGAAAGCGUGGGGAGCGAACAGGAUUAGAUACCCUGGUAGUCCACGCCGUAAACGAUGAGUGCUAGGUGUUGGAUCCUUUCCGGGAUUCAGUGCCGCAGCUAACGCAUUAAGCACUCCGCCUGGGGAGUACGACCGCAAGGUUGAAACUCAAAGGAAUUGACGGGGGCCCGCACAAGCGGUGGAGCAUGUGGUUUAAUUCGAAGCAACGCGAAGAACCUUACCAGGUCUUGACAUCCCGAUGCUAUUUCUAGAGAUAGAAAGUUACUUCGGUACAUCGGUGACAGGUGGUGCAUGGUUGUCGUCAGCUCGUGUCGUGAGAUGUUGGGUUAAGUCCCGCAACGAGCGCAACCCCUAUUGUUAGUUGCCAUCAUUCAGUUGGGCACUCUAGCGAGACUGCCGGUAAUAAACCGGAGGAAGGUGGGGAUGACGUCAAAUCAUCAUGCCCCUUAUGACCUGGGCUACACACGUGCUACAAUGGUUGGUACAACGAGUUGCGAGUCGGUGACGGCAAGCUAAUCUCUUAAAGCCAAUCUCAGUUCGGAUUGUAGGCUGCAACUCGCCUACAUGAAGUCGGAAUCGCUAGUAAUCGCGGAUCAGCACGCCGCGGUGAAUACGUUCCCGGGCCUUGUACACACCGCCCGUCACACCACGAGAGUUUGUAACACCCGAAGUCGGUGAGGUAACCUUUUGGAGCCAGCCGCCUAAGGUGGGAUAGAUGAUUGGGGUGAAGUCGUAACAAGGUAGCCGUAUCGGAAGGUGCGGCUGGAUCACCUCCUU
Molecule: ribosomal RNA, 1545 nt
Filed under: Streptococcus salivarius
Lineage: Bacteria; Bacillati; Bacillota; Bacilli; Lactobacillales; Streptococcaceae
Description: Bacterial small subunit ribosomal RNA
Rfam family: Bacterial small subunit ribosomal RNA
Source: RNAcentral